RNAcentral lists this long non-coding RNA (1445 nucleotides) under Cyanistes caeruleus (blue tit). RNAcentral's name for it is "lncRNA (ENSCCEG00000001917.1)". Lineage: Eukaryota; Metazoa; Chordata; Aves; Passeriformes; Paridae. The record is from RNAcentral.
UUCACCACACUUAAGAAUUAAAAAAAUUACUUUCUCAUCAAUAUUUAUUUGAUGUUACACAAGGCAAAAAAUACCAUUCACUAUGACAAAACAGUUUUGGCCACAGGGUGAAUAUUUUUAUUCCCUUUACCUAUCUAUAUUUUCUUGAUAAUAUCUUUCAAGUUAGUUUGUCAUUAUAACUAUCAAAAUUUGAAAGAAAGAAUCACAUUUUGUUUUGAUCUAAUCUCUGAACACAGGUUAUGGAUAGGUAAUGAGAACAUGAACAUGAGGAACCACUAAUUCAGGAAGUUUGGUUUUGUGACCUUGGUACAGAGAUUGAGAAACUGUGAUGCUAAUUCAAACCUUCCUAGAAUCCUUUCUGCAAGAGCACAGUACUAUUGAAACUCAUUCAAGGGCCUUAGAGGAAAAAGGUAGGAAAUUAGUCUGUUGGAAUAUAUGCAUCUAAAUGACAUCUGGGUCACUGUUUUUCAUCACCUCAUCUUAUUUCUACCAGUGUAAAAGAAUUCACAUUGCUGAAUUACUAAUGAGAAAUAAUCUAUAAAGACUAGCGCCUGUGUGUAUGUUAUGCAACAUAACAGAGAGAGGGCUAAGACAUAGGUAGUUUCCUACCUUUAAGACAGGCAUAAUACCUGAACAAUUCGGUUUGGGUGUCUUCUACUACAUGCAGACCUUCUGAAAGCAAGUUCAUGAGCUAUUUAUGAUUGUAUAGCAGUUAUUUAUGCAGUGGAAAGGCAAGACUAAAAUGAUAUAAGGCUAAGCAUGAAUUUCUUCAAAACCUAAAGGCAUUUGAGGAGUAACUGUUGGUGACUGAUGGCAGAGAGGUCAGCAGGGAAGUGUUGGCUUCUGUCACCCACUGAAAAUUGCUUAUCUUGAAAACCUGAGUUAAACCUCCUACUCUGGUUUUUUUUUCCCUUCAUGAUUUUAUACCGUUCCUUCACUCUGCUUUUUCCUCAGUUUCUGGCUUACUAAUACUAGCUCAAUAAGGACCUCUGUCUUUUUAUUUCCUUCUGUCACAUGUCUUUAGCCUAUGAAUUCACUUUCGGCUCAAAAAAUAUUUUCUUUUUCUGAAACACCAGUUCAAAGUUACCAAACUGAGCUUCCCCAAAGUGUGUCUUGUUCCUGAAUGUGAGCUGUCAGCUGCAGAAGGAGCAGCUAGGCUUCGGUGAGUACCCACAUUUGUUCUGUGUUCAUCUGGUGCUGAUGUGAGAUAGCAGCUUCAGGGAACUUACACUGCUGAAAAUUGUUAACACAAAUACUGCAUAUUUACCCAUGCACUCUGUAAUAGAGAUAACAUUUUUUGGAGGUUACUGGGUGGGUGCCUUUUUAUAUCUACCAUGCUUCACCUCUAGGGAAAACUAAAAGUUCGCUCACUGCAGUAAACUAUAAUAUCAUCGAGGUCCACCUGCAGAAAUGAAAAUGUUGUAUGAAUCCCAAGAAAACUGUUA